This is a non-coding RNA of Heterocephalus glaber (naked mole-rat), 52 nucleotides long. NCBI's taxonomy places the organism in Eukaryota, Metazoa, Chordata, Mammalia, Rodentia, Bathyergidae. The record is from Rfam.
GGGAAACUCCAGGAGGGGCUGGCCUCAGGCCUCGAAACAAUAUUAUGGGGCA